GGAGGGGUAUGAGGGGGGAGAGCCACACCGUGGGAGGGGUAUGAGGGGGGGAGAGCCACAAUGUCGGAGGGGUACGAGGCGGGGAGAGCCACACUGUGGGAGGGGUAUGAGGGGGGGAGAGCCACACUGAGGGAAGGGUAUGAGGGAGGGCCACACUGAGGGAGGAGUAUGAGGAGGGAGAGCCACACUGAGGGAGGGGUAUGAGGGAGGGCCACACUGAGGGAGGGGUACGAGGGGGGAGAGCCACACUGCGGGAAGGGUAUGAAGGGAGAGAGCCAGACUGAGGGAGGGGUAUGAGGGGGGAGAGCCAGACUGAGGGAGGGGUACAAGGGGGGGGGGGAGAGCCAGACUGUGGGAGGUGCAGUGAGGAGAAAACAUCACUUAGGUGGUCAAUUUACAUUCUACAAUGCCCUCCGUCCUCGCCACCCCUCAGCACCUCCCUCCUCACUGCCCCUCCACGCCGCACCUCCCCCAGCAUGGUGCUCCCUCACUCUAACGCUGGGGGUGGGGGAAGCAAGCCUGGGUAGUACUCUCAGUCUCAGUACUCAGGGGCCAGGAGCCCACUCACCCAUCCUGCUCCCCCCCUCCCCACAACCCCCGAGGCAGAGACGAGGGACACAACGCCACUCUCGAUAACCUGCCACACAGGAACUCGGAGUCGGGUUUCCGCCUGAAAUUCUUAGAACCUUUGCAUUUCAAAACGGUGCUGAGAUAAACUGCAAACACCCACAUCCCUUUACUGAAUUUGAUCUAGAUUGCUGCAGAGAAGUGAGACAACAAGCAGAAGGGUGCAAAUAGGAAGUUCUCUCUCUCUCUAAAACUGGCUCUGCUCCCUCUCUGCGUUGUUGAUGUAAAUUUCCAGACACUCCCUCAGUGGAAUGAACAACAGCUCGCUCCCUGUUCCGCCUGAGUCCCUUGCCUGUCUCUGAAACACUCAAUGCACGUACAACACGACAGCCGGCCAAACCGUUCACCGCAUCUCUUAGUUCACCAAAUUUCGCCAAGAUCCUCCAAAGCAUCCAGUUAAAAAAAAUCCAUAUCGGCUUUGCUUCCACGAAGUGAAGUUUGCUGUUUUGCGACAGCGAGGUACUGCAUUCACAUUAGGACACAGAAAUAAAAUAGAAUCAGUGAAAAACUACGCACAAAGACUGACAAAACCCCCGUGCAAAGACGAACCGUGCAAAUACGAAAAACAGGAAGUAAAUAAUAGAUGGAGCAGGUCCUUCUGGCCUUGGAAUCGUGCCACCCAGAAACCCUGGAUUUAUGGGACUAUUUCUGGUGACCAAUGACUAACUGGAAUAUCUUUGGAAUGUGGGAGAAAACCCUCGCGGUCACUGGGAGAACACACUCCUUACAGGCGGAGGCGGGAAGCGAACCUAUGUCACCGCCACUGUGAAGUGUCGUGCCAGUCGCAACGCCACCAGUCUUCUGCCCGAUGGGAGGCGGGCGGGGUCUUUGAUGAUGCUGGCCUCUUUACUGAGGCAACAAGAAGGAAGUCCGUGGAAGGGAGGCUGGUUUCCGUGAUCUGCUGAACUCUGCCCAGUUUCUCAAGGUCAAGGGCAGAGUCCGUGCUGAACUGAGUCAUGAAGCGUCCGCAUAGAGUGCUCGGCCACUCAGGAACAGCUUCUCCCCUCUGCCACCCCGGUUUCUGAAUGGACAUUGAACCCAUGAGCACUGCCUCGCUACUUUUUAAUUUUUAUUCUAUUAAUUAUUUAAUUUAACUACUUUAUAUAUAUAUAUACUGACUGUAAUUCACAUUGUUUUUCUAUUAUUAUGUAUUGCAUUGUACUGCUGCCACAAAGACGACAGAUUUCAUCAGAUAUGCUGGUGAUAUUAAACCUGAUUCUGAUUCUAAGGUGUAUCUGUGAAAAUUGGACAGGGUCAAAGGGGACUUGCUGAAUUGCCUUAAUCUUCUCAGCAGGCUGAGGUGGUGGUGUGUUUGUGUCUCUCCUGUGCUCCUGUGAGUUCACUGGAAUAUUUAUUAAACUGUCGUGGACACACAAAGUCAAAGUCGGGUUUACUGUCAUCUGCACAAGUCCGUGUGUCCGCAGGUGCGAUGAAAAACUUACUUGCAGCAGCAUCGCAGGCUCACAGCAUCAGGUGCACAACAUUCGCACGAAAAACAUUAACUAAGCAUAAACUAUACACAGCAACACACAUCAAAGUUGCUGGUGAGCGCAGCAGGCCAGGCAGCAUCUCUAGGAAGAGGUACAGUCGACAUUUCGGGCCCAGACCCUUCCUCAGGAACACAAUUAGAUCGAAAACAAGGCUAUUGUGGUGCAAAGUGGUCUCAAUGUUUCCGUACGGAGGAAGUGAUUGGGGUCGUGUCGGUCAGUUGAAGAACCGAAUGGUUGAAGGGAGGUCGCUGUUCCUGAACCUGGUGGGGUGGGACUUCAGGCUUCUGUAACUCCUGCCCGAUGGGAGCUGUGAGAAGAUGGCCUGGCCCGGAUGGUGGGGAUCUGUGAUGAUGGACGUGGCCUUCUUGAGCCACCGUCUCCUGUAGACACGAGUGAUGGUGGGGAGGGAUGUGCCCGUGAUGUAUUGGGCCUAGUCCGUGACUCUCGGCAGCUUAUGUUCCUGGGCAUUCGAAUUCCCGGACCAGACCGUGACACGACCAGUCAGGAUAUUUUCAACAAGACAUCUGUAGAAGGUUGUCAGAGCGUUCGGUGACAAGUUGGCAUCCUGAUUUAUUUACUCCUCGGAGGCAGAGUCCCAGACGCUGAACCAUACGGAGCGACCCGCAGAGAGCUCCUCUCCCUGGGUUCCCAGCACAUGCCUCUCCCCAGGCCGGUGAACUGCCAGCGGGGCUCGUCUCUGAGUGUGCCCCUGGGCAGCAAAGCACAAGAGUCCCACAUGACACCACUCAGGCAGACAGCUUGAUCAUUCCACCGUGGAUGGUCCCAAGCCCGGCUGUGCUAGGAGGAGGAUUGGACAUGGGCCUAGCAACCCCAUCCUGUAAAAAUCAGGAGCUACCGAAACGCCAGCAGGAGCUCCAAACACCUCAUUCCUGGGAGAGGAAGGAUGCCCCAACAAGAUGGGCUAGUCCUGGGGACAACCUGAAGACCGGCCCAGGACAGAGGGCUCUGUCGAACUGCUGUCGGCAGCCCGGGUCCCAGUAAGCAAAGUAGGUGGUGCCAUGGGAGCAAACGUGAUGUGGAUAGAGAUCUUUGGGAGGGGUGGUGAGGAGGGAGCACUGCGAUGAGGGAGGGAGCGCGAUGUGGAUAGAGAUCUUUGGGAGGGGUGGUGAGGAGGGAGCACUGCGAUGAGGGAGGGAGCGCGAUGUGGAUAGAGAUCUUUGGGAGGGGUGGUGAGGAGGGAACACUGUGAUGUAGGAGGGGCAGUGAGGAGGGAACGCGAUGUGGGAAUGAUGAGGAUAGAGAUCUUUGGGAGGGGUGGUGAGGAGGGAGCACCGUGAUGUGGGAGGGGCAGUGAGGAGGGAGAACUGUGAUACGGGAGGGGCGAUGAGGAGGGAGCACUGCGAUGUAGGAGGGGCGGUGAGAAGGGAGAACUGCGAUACGGGAGGGGCGGUGAGGAGGGAGCACUGCGAUGUAGGAGGGGCGGUGAGGAGGGAGAACUGCAAUACGGGAGGGGCGGUGAGGAGGGAGAACUGCGAUGAGGGAGGGGCGGUGCAGAGGGAGAACUGCGAUGAGGGAGGGGCGGUGCGGAGGGAGAACUGCGAUGAGGGAGGGGAGAUGAGCAGGGAGCGCUGCACUGUGGAAUGGGCCUUGCCAAGCUAAAGCCUCACUCCCUCAGUUUCACUCCUCCACUCCGACAGGACCAGGAGUCAAGAGGCAGCUGCAUCGCAGCUCAGUCUCCUGGUUUCCGCUGUACUGGAAGGCCCAGUUCGGAGCCCCAGGACAGACUCCAGCCUGGGAAGAGGCGGUUCCUGGCAACGGCUUGCAAUGCUGAUUAAAGUUCUCACAUUCCGAUGGACUGUUGUUUGUCCUGGAAUAAAAGGACAUCCUGUUCUCACAGAAAGACA
This is a long non-coding RNA of Mobula hypostoma (lesser devil ray), 3982 nucleotides long. RefSeq lists it as uncharacterized. The transcript has 3 exons. The record is from RefSeq and is a predicted model, not a curated record. NCBI's taxonomy places the organism in Eukaryota, Metazoa, Chordata, Chondrichthyes, Myliobatiformes, Myliobatidae.